RNAcentral lists this ribosomal RNA (574 nucleotides) under Chelonibia caretta. RNAcentral describes it as "eukaryotic LSU rRNA". It matches the Rfam family "Eukaryotic large subunit ribosomal RNA", at positions 1018 to 1573 of the family's 3401-position model. Lineage: Eukaryota; Metazoa; Arthropoda; Thecostraca; Balanomorpha; Chelonibiidae. The record is from RNAcentral.
UGAUCAGAGGAGCUGGGCUCCUUGCGAGCUCAACCUAUUCUAAACUUUCAAUGGGUGAGACGUCUCGCUGGCUUCACUGCAGCGACGACUCUGAAUCCGAGUGCCCAGUGGGCCACUUUUGGUAAGCAGAACUGGCGAUGCGGGAUGAACCGCAUGUCGAGUUAAGGUGCCUAAGCGGACGCAAAUCAGAUACCAUGAAAGGUGUUGAUUGCUCACGACAGCAGGACGGUGGCCAUGGAAGUCGGCAUCCGCUAAGGAGUGUGUAACAACUCACCUGCCGAAGCAAUCAGCCCUGAAAAUGGAUGGCGCUAAAGCGUUCCACCGAUACUCGACCGUCGUCGGCACGCGAUCGACUUCCGUUCGGUCUCAGGCCACGACGAGUAGGGCGGCGCGGUGGUGAGCGUCGAAGGCGUAGCCGUGAGGCUAGCUGGAGCCGCCAUCGGUGCAGAUCUUGGUGGUAGUAGCAAAUACACAAGCAAGAUCCUUGUGGACCGAUGUGGAGAAGGGUUCCGCGCGAACAGUACUUGGACGUGGGUGAGUCGGCCCUAAGCCAACGGGUAAUUCCCGCAUCCCG